GUAGCUAAUACCGCAUAAUGUCGCAAGACCAAAGUGGGGGACCUUCGGGCCUCAUGCCAUCAGAUGUGCCCAGAUGGGAUUAGCUAGUAGGUGGGGUAACGGCUCACCUAGGCGACGAUCCCUAGCUGGUCUGAGAGGAUGACCAGCCACACUGGAACUGAGACACGGUCCAGACUCCUACGGGAGGCAGCAGUGGGGAAUAUUGCACAAUGGGCGCAAGCCUGAUGCAGCCAUGCCGCGUGUGUGAAGAAGGCCUUCGGGUUGUAAAGCACUUUCAGCGGGGAGGAAGGCGUUAAGGUUAAUAACCUUGGCGAUUGACGUUACCCGCAGAAGAAGCACCGGCUAACUCCGUGCCAGCAGCCGCGGUAAUACGGAGGGUGCAAGCGUUAAUCGGAAUUACUGGGCGUAAAGCGCACGCAGGCGGUCUG
This 428-nucleotide ribosomal RNA is filed under the name Klebsiella pneumoniae. Its description in RNAcentral is "bacterial SSU rRNA". It matches the Rfam family "Bacterial small subunit ribosomal RNA", at positions 159 to 582 of the family's 1533-position model. Lineage: Bacteria; Pseudomonadati; Pseudomonadota; Gammaproteobacteria; Enterobacterales; Enterobacteriaceae. The record is from RNAcentral.